AACGCAAUACCAACAUUAUGCAAUUGCCAAAGACUCACUUGAAGCUGUAGUUGACCUUAUGAACUCACCCCUAGUUCUAGAUAAAUCAAUUUAGGUAUUACCUUGAUAAUUAAUUAAGAUAAUAAGAAUCGUUUGAACUCAGAGUGAUCGAUCGAUGAUACAGGUCAUGAGGAACGCAAUAGCGACAUCAUGCAAUUGACAAAGACUCAAUUGAAGUUGUAGUUGACC
This 228-nucleotide long non-coding RNA is filed under the name Capsicum annuum. RNAcentral's name for it is "long non-coding RNA (CANN_LNC015623)". The record is from RNAcentral. Lineage: Eukaryota; Viridiplantae; Streptophyta; Magnoliopsida; Solanales; Solanaceae.